Long non-coding RNA from Hipposideros armiger (great roundleaf bat), 961 nucleotides. RefSeq lists it as uncharacterized. Lineage: Eukaryota; Metazoa; Chordata; Mammalia; Chiroptera; Hipposideridae. The transcript has 3 exons. The record is from RefSeq and is a predicted model, not a curated record.
UGAAAAUGACACUUGACAUUUCUAUUUCUAUGCAAUAUUGGGAAAUUGAUGGUUCAUCACUGUUUCAAAUAAGGUCAAGGAACACUAAUUCAGUGUCAUCAUUGGGUCUUUCUUUUCUGUCCUGAGUGAAAUGAUAAGAGGGGACAGAACAUUUUCCGUCUCAGGACGGCUGUGAAUGGACAGCUGGAGAAAAGCAUACGGGAAGCACAAUGGGGAAGAGACUGGAAGCCGAGCAGGUAAUACCUGGCACCGUGGUUUGUACGCAGUAAAGGGCAAGCAGAGCGUGUGACAUCUCUGUCUUGGCGUCCUGUGACUUCUGCUUUGUUGUUACUUAAGAGUGAAAUUACUCCCUGUGUGCUGGACAGGAAUGUACCAAGACUUACCUCAGGCUUCCGAGGGUCAGUCUCCACAAAGACGUUGAAAAUGAGACAAGAGAAACAUCCUAAGAUCGAAGGUUUUUCUGGAGCUCUUACCUUGUGCCUGGCAUGAUGCUAGUCACUGGGGGCACAUCUGGGGACAAAACAAAUGGAUCCCUGUUCUCCUGGGAAUUGACAGUAUAAUGGGGAAGACAAACAUGCAGCAACUACCUUAAUAGUUGUUUCAGAAUGCAUCCUGCAGGACCCAAGUUAGCAUCAGACUCAAGGGGAUGAACAAGUAGCCGUUGGAGGGAAAGAAGAUAGUCAUCCAGCUUUGAUUCUACCUCCCUGCAAAGCUUUCUGCUCUAAGGGCACAGUGAUGAUUUUGGAUCCUCAGCAGCAAUUCAUCAGGUACUGAAUAACCACCCAGACUCGGAUUAAACACCCAGAAAGCAGGGAAAAUUUGGGGUCCCAAAGUUCACACUAACAACCAGGAGUGGUUACUAUUACCUCUUACCUUGCUAUCCUCAACAUCUUGCAGGAGGCAGCCUGGCAAGCGUUUCCAGUGGAAGAAGACGAGGAGACUGAGGUGGGAGGCAAGGAGA